AUCAUUAUUGAAAAACCAGACCUAAUUUUACUCCAACUUUACUCUCUCCACUUACUCUGCCUCUCUCCACUCCCGUCUCUCCACUCCCGCAGCCACACAGCCCCAUUCCAAAACGAAGACUUUCAGCAGCAACGGCGAUGGCGACCCCGACCACAAACCUGCGGCCGUCGCUCCGAUCAACCCAGGCAGCACACCUCAUCUCCACCCCGUUCCUCACCAGCCUAAACUCGCCAACACCACCACCACACUCUGUGAGUUCUGCCUCAACAAGGUCAAGAAGCUCAGAUUCAACCUUUUCCAGUGCAUUAGCUUUUACUGCUGAAAGGUACAAUGCAGAGGCAAAACAGUCAUAAUCAGAACGGGCUUGAAUUGAGGCCGUGAAAGCUUACCCACAAGCCGAAACGCAUAUAAAUUCUAGCAACCACUGUAAGUAAGGAGAUGAAGUUGCUUUUUGGAAGCCAACCAAGAUGGAGUUGAAGACUUUUUGGUAGUUAUUUUUGGAAACUAACCAAGAUGGAGUAAAUGGAACACAUGUUUUGAGUUCUUCUUGGAUAUGGAUGUUUUGUAGUUUUGGUAAUGUUAAAUUUGAAGUGGUUAUUGUUAGAGGAUGAAUGUUUUGAAAUGUUUUGAAGUUGGAUGAUCAAUGUUGACUUAAUGGAUAUUUGAUUUGAAUGAUAUUUUGCUUCUUCGCAAUUUAAGUUUUGCUAAGUUGAAUUAUAAGAUACAUAAAAAUCUGAAAUUUAAUUUGUAAGCAGGUGAA
Long non-coding RNA from Rhododendron vialii, 760 nucleotides. RefSeq lists it as uncharacterized. The transcript has 5 exons. The record is from RefSeq and is a predicted model, not a curated record. NCBI's taxonomy places the organism in Eukaryota, Viridiplantae, Streptophyta, Magnoliopsida, Ericales, Ericaceae.